CAAACUGAGCAGAAGAGGAGUGAAAGUGCAGAAACAAUGAACAAUCAGUCGUCAAACAGGUAAAUUAACUUGCUUUCAAUCAAUUUACUAAGCCUGAUGUAGCUAUGAACUGGAAGAUGUUGUGGAUAAAUAGAAAUAUGUUUUAUUCAUUAACAUCGAAAAUAUUCCACCGUAGUUUGGUCGGUCAAACCACUCCAAAAUCCUUUAUUAUUAUUAUUAUUAUUAUUAUUAUUAUUAUUAUGGAUCUGAGAGUUACUUCUUUCGAUCUAUUUUUUUGCCCAUAUUAGGUAUUGGUAUGCACUCCAAUUUUGUUCCCUCUAUAUAGAAGAUAUAUAAUAGACAUUUGUAAUCAAUCAUUUACCUCUUGGAGGAUAAGUAAUAGUAUUUCAUUGUUCCAAGUAUAUAUGGAUUAAUGAAAAUAAAAUCCAUGUAUUAGAAAAGAAAAUUAUCCAUGAUGUCGAAAGUUUAGGCUGCGAACCCUUUGUUUUCUUGAACUCAUCUUCACAUCCUGAUUUAAAGGUGGCUCAACCCUUAGGCAGGUGAGACAUUGCCUCAAAUCCUAUAUUAUAUAAGGCCACAAAUUUUAGAGGCUUUGAUACUAGUUUUAUUUCUUUACACUUUCUACAUAUUAAUAGAAAGGUAUCAUCAGAGUUUUUUUCCCAAGUACCCAAAUUGCUUGAUCUCACUCCGUUGAUCUUGGUACCUUUCUUGGAGAUUUUGUCCCAACAGUAGUACUACUGAAUACAUAGAUGACAAGAGAGGAAAUGAAGAUUUAGAAAAGCUCAAAGGCUUUGGUCUCUCUGAGAAUGUUGUGUUUCAUCAACUUGAUGUAAUGGAUCCAACUAGUAUUGCUUCCCUUGCCAAUUUCAUAACAAACAUUUAUAGGAAGCUUGAUAUUUUGGUAUGAAUUCUUAGUAAGGCUGAAAAGUAAGAACUGUCUAAUUUAUUUUUAUGAGUCUAGACACACUAAACUCUGAUUUAGUGAUUCGUAUCUGUAAAAGACGAAUUAGGAGCCAUUGACUUAAACUAAAUUUAGAUUUUGAUAAAACUUGACUAAAUAUGUGGUUGAAAAGUUGAUAAAAACUACGGGUCUCAUGAAUAUAUAGUUAAAAUAAAUUGUUAAUUUUUAUUAACUUUUUUAGAUACACCAAACGUGUGCAAAAUUUACAAUGUUGAUGGAAGACUUCAUACAAUGUAUGCAAUGAAGACUUAAUAUACAUUAAACAUUAUUGUAAGACUGUAUCUUGUUAAAUCCUUCAAAAAAGUUAAAAAAAUGUCAAAUCCUGUUCACCAAUAAUGAUAUAUUCAAAAUAAAUUAAUAAUCUUAUAAUGUUAAUUAAAAAAUAAGAAUCUUACAAUGAAGUUCUUGUCUCCAUUAUGGAAAAUGGAGCAUUUGAUUAAAAACAUGUUUAUGGACCGCAGUUCAAAGUUAAAUUGGCAGUAUAAUUUUUGAAGUGGAGUAGGUAGGAGUGACUUGUCUUUUGUUUGUGUGUGUGUGUGUGUGUGUGUGUGUGUAUAUAUAUAUAUAUAUAUAUAUAUAUAUAUAUAUAUAUAAAAGAGAGAGUAAUAUUAAGCUUCAAAAUGAGCAGAGAGAAGAGUGAAAGUGCAGAAACAAUGAGCAACCAGUCAUCAAACAGGUAAAUUAACUUGCUUUCAAUUAAAUUAUUUAGCCAUAUUUAGUUUUCAUAUUUGACUAAUUAAUAAUCGUAGUGAAACAUACUGUUAGACUGUAGUAGAAAAGAAAAUUUUCCAUGAUGGCUGUUAAUCUUUCGUUGAAAUUAGUUUAGAUUGAGAACUGUUAAUUUUCUUGAUAUCAUCUUUUCAUACCUAAUCUAAAGGUGGCUCAACCCUUAGGCAGGUGAGACAUUGCCUAAGGUCCUAUAUUUAUACAAAGCCACAAUUUUAGAACAUUUUCCCCUCUUUCUACUAACUAAUAGAACAGUUAUUGUAAGAGUUUUUCCUACAGUACCCAAAUUGCUUGAGCUCGCUCCAUUGAUCUUGGUAACUUUCUUGGAGAUUCCAUCCCAACAUAAAUACUAAUGAGUUCAUACCCAAAUGGUUGUGUGGCAAUUUUGAUAUUCAGUACCAGAUAGAGAUGGCAAUUUAGCUCUCGCGGCUCAGGCUGCCCAUGGCUCGAUUGGGAAAAAGCCUGAUCUAGCCCAACUCGAGGCUCAACCUGAGCCCCCAUUUUGGGUAUCGAGCUGAGCCCCGAGCUGGCUCGUUAAAAAAAAAAAGGCAAUAGAGAGGUGCCUUUAAAAAGGCAAUAUGUGUUGCCAGUCAUAUAAAAAAAAUUGAGCCUACUCGACUCGGUAAGGCCCGAGCCGAAAGCUCAGGUCGAGCCUCGAAUUUUUCGUCGAGCUUUUGCUCAACUUGGACCAAAAAAAUCCGUCUUAAUUUUACUUCGAUUCACAAGUUGGUUCGAUUCAACUCGUUGACAUUCCUAGUACCAAACAAGAUUAGGUAGUAUUAAGGGAAAAAAAUAAAAAAUCAUGUCUAUCGUAUUGUCUAAUCUUAUUUGAUAUACUUGAUAUUGUUCAUCUAACAAGCCCUUACCGUUUGCAUCUUUUUAUUUAUCUAGGUAUGCAGUUGUGACAGGGGCAAAUAAAGGAAUAGGGUUUGAGCUAUGUAGGCAGUUGGCAUGUAAAGGAGUCAUUGUGGUUUUGACAGCCAGAGAUGAGAAGAGAGGCAAUGAAGCUCUAGAAAAGCUCAAAGGCUUUGGUCUCUCUGAAAAUGUUGUGUUUCAUCAACUUGAUGUAAUGGAUCCAACUAGUAUUGCUUCCCUUGCCAAUUUCAUCAAAAACAUUUAUGGGAAGCUUGAUAUUUUGGUAUGAAUUUUUCUUCUUUUUUCAAUGUUUUUUAUUUUCUAAAUUUUGUCCUUUUUUAUUUUUUUGGCCCAAUUUUUUUGUGUUUAUUGGUUAAUCUAUUCUAUAAGAAUGAUAGAAUUUCGGGGAAAACGUCAAAAUAGGGACAGGUAGAUUAAAAGUAACAUAGCCUGCGGAAGUGGCUAUACUUGUUGUUUUUAGACUUCGAGAAGAUAUGGAGGAGCAAAAAAGUUUUCAUCUAGCCAACCUCAAGAAAGUAGCGAAAUUUUAUAAUUUGUAGCCGACCCUAAAUUGUGAGGUAACAAGCUUAGUUACAUCCCAUAUUAUGGUAGAAAAAAGAAAGAAAAAAUCUCCUGACCUCGAUUUUUUGGACAAGAUUGGCUGCCAUAAAAUAGGGGCCGGGCUGGGCCUCUACAAAGUCAGUUCAUUUAACACUUCUAGCUAUUCAUUAUGCAACCAAUGUGGAUCCAAUGCAUGCUUAAGAAAUCACCUACUGUUCCUGAGUAGCUAAGUAGUAGAAUAGUUCACUUUGAACUACAUUUCAACAUAGCUGAGAUUUUUUCUCAUAUUAUAAAAUUAAGAAUUGUUCAUCUUUCUUUAUUAAUUAAUGUGGGGAAGCAAUAAUGCUGCUUUUAAGCUCGUGGGCUUGAUCACUCAAAUGAUGAUCAUCGAAUGCCAUAAAAGGUUUAGCUUGACCUCACUUGAUAUUAAUCAAUUUUUAGAUGAGAUAGUUAAAGCCUGUUCCUACAAUUAGUAUUUUUAUUAUGAACUGUUAUUUUAAAAAAUCUGAAAAUUUUGCAGGUGAAUAAUGCUGGUAUGAUUGGAGUAAGUAUAAAGGGAGAUGUCUUAGUUAUUAAAGAUAUAAUUGAGGCAGAUGUAGUUUCAAUUCCUGAUGACACCAAGGUUGGUCUUUGACUCUUUGUACUAUAUUUAUUUCAUCACUCAACUGAAAACUUCAGGUGAAAUUGAAUACUAUUAGUUGAGAAUAAAAUGUUUACUGCUAAUGACACUUUUAGACAAACAUAAUACAAGACGAUCAGACAUUAUAAUUGACGAAAUUUUUAACUUCUUUCUAUUUCUUUAUAUUGUUGAGUGCUAUAAAGUCAGUCUACCGAACAAGUUAAUUGUUCGUACAUGAAAAAGUCUGUAUGCAGGGAGAUAUAUCACCUUUUCAUAGAAUAUGGAAAUCACUUCAAUUGUUAUUCCUAUUGAGUUUUUUGAUUCAAAAUGUUAACAUGUUUUCAUAGAAACUAGAAUGUUUGGAGGAAGUAAAUGACUAAAUGAGGAUGUUAUAAUGGAUGCAUGUGUGAUCAUGGUAAAAUAGAUAAGAUAAGAAAUAGUAGACUAAAGCAGUCGGGACAUUUUUUAUUUUUUUUAUUUGCUUUGUAAAAUUAAAGAGAAGUUAUGAUAUUACACAGAAUAACAGGUUAAGAAAUUGACAAAUUAUGUGUUUGAGAUGUGUCUUGUAUAUACCUAAAUAGGCUCUUAUGCUGCUAUCAAUACAAUAGGUUAAAAGAGGAAAUGGUAAACCAAAACUAACAUGAUCAUUGUAGUUUUAAAAGGUACAGUCCAUUUGGAUCUUUGAGUAGUUUACGCAGUAGUGAAGAGAGAUUUAUGCAGUCGACCACUAAUUUAUAGAACUUAAAGGCAGGAUCAUUUCAAUAACAGAUUUUCUUUCUUCAAUAAUGCAGCCACAAGAAGCUCAUAUCGCAGCAAAUGGAAAACUUGUUCAGACAUAUGAAUGGGCAGAACAAUGUUUGCAAACUAACUAUUAUGGUACAAAGAGAAUGAUUGAAGCAUUUAUUCCACUCUUAAGGUUGUCUGAUACGCCAAGGAUUGUGAAUGUGUCUUCUCUCAUGGGUAUAUUGAAGGUAAAAGUUAUUUACUUCUGUGGAAAAAGAAUUUCGGAUGACCAAAAUAGUGAAGAAAAUUAAAAAGAACCGCGUUUUUAAAAAUUUUGUAUAAAGUGACCUUACUUUUAGUAAUUAAGGGUGAGCCAACCUAAGAUAAUUUAGGGGAUUAUAAAAACUUGAAUUUUGGAACAGAACACAACUCUUCAAGAACCUGACAUAUGCUAUUUCUCCUGAUCCCACAUCCAGUUUCAGUCCAAUGAAUGGGCAAAACAAGUGCUAUGCAAUGCAGAAGAACUCACAGAAGAUAAAGUAGAUAAUGUGCUCAACAAGUUUCUUCAAGACUUCAAAGAAAACUCAUUGAAAGUCAAUGGCUGGCCGGAACAUGUACCUGCAUACAGAUUGUCGAAGUCUGCCAUUAAUGCCUAUACAAGAAUUAUUGCCAAAAAAUACCCUAAUUUCUACAUCAACUGCGUGUGUCCUGGAUAUGUGAAAACUGAUAUAAAUGCCAAUACUGGUUCAUUGACUGUUGAAGAGGGUGCAGAUAGUCUGUUGAAGCUGGCAAUGCUGCCGGAUGGGAUGGCCACGCCCCCAUCUGGACUGUUCUUUUACCGGCAGAAUGUAUCGAACUUCUAAUAGUUUGGUCCUUUCAAAUGUUAUAUUUCUCAAGUAAAUGUAUGGGGUUUGAAUUGAAUAAAGAUUUAUGUAUUCAUGAUAUUGGUAAUGGAUUUCCUACAAAAUUUUAUCCCUAAAAUUAUUUAUUCCCUCCCUUUGUUGCAUAUGUUUAGUUGGCCCAAACCUAAUUAAAACUCUUCAAUUGAAGCGGAUUUAGGCUUUCAUCUGCAGUUCGAAUUAUGAGAUUUUUGGCUUCUGUUAUAGAUCGAUUGCUGUGAAAUGUUGCUUUAUCUAAAAAUCGAUUUCUUUGAUAUUGUCUUCCAGGUAUGUCUAUUCCAAGAUUAUAUAUUUAUAGAGUUUUACUACUACCUGUAAUUUCUUUGUAUGAAUUGCUGCUGAAUCCAUUAGUAAAUGUGUUGUUCGAGAAAUUUAAAGUAGAUGUUGGAGACUCUAGGGUUUUAGAUGUGGUGGAAAAGUGUCAAGAUUACUCCAUCUCCAUGCUCCUUGCCAGACUUUUAUUAUGUCGGUGGCGGCAGAGCAAUGCCCCUAUGAAUGUUUAUUGAGAAAUUUAAGCUAGAUGUUGGAUGCAUUCUUUUGUGAUCUUUGUCCAUGUUUCUUGCUAGACUUUUAGUAAUCCAAACAUGGCGACCGAGAUGGACAUUUAGGCCAUGAGGAUAUUUAUUCUCCACCCAUCACCUGAAAAUCUUAGGACAAGAAACAGGAAAGGUCGUCCCGCUUGCCCCGUUUUCUGGAGUUAUUGACUUUAUUGUUAUGUAUCAUAGCCGAAUUAGAAGAGGGCUUGCAAAGAUAUAGUUCUAUUAGGAUGUAUCCUUAUUUUGUCUUUCUAUUAUGGAUCAAUCAACAUAAUAAUCAAGUUGCUCUAGAUUUUUUCCAAGUGCUAUUCUCGACACUUCAGAAGCUUUUAUGUUAUCUAUGUGCUCAUCUCUAGACGAGAUUUCUUCACCAGAGGAUCUCUUUUGUGUUAAUUUGACCUUAUGCAAGUUUACAGACCUCGAUUCAUCAUUUCUUACAACUAGCAACAAUAUCUAUCACAGAAUCGAAACACUAGUAGAAUGAGAAUAUGCAAUAAAAAAUUUGCACCUUCAAUCUAGAUUUGCAAGAAGUCAGACUUGUAGUUUCACACAUCCCAUUACAUUAUGCUUUCUGGUAAAAUAAGUAAUUUAAGAUUCGAACAAGCACUUGAAUGAUAUAAAACCCACCCAAGACUUGUCCUCUGUAUUCCAAAAUUAGUCAUGGCAGAACUUGAAGCUUCCCAUAUUUUUUGGAGUUCUUGAAAUUUCAUUUACUUGUUGAACAUCAAGAAUUCCAGACCGGGGCUAUUUUUGUGUACUUCUUUAGUGUUUCGGCAAGCGAGAUUUCAGGCAAGCCCCUGUGAUACAGGAAAGGGCUAUGAUAUAAAUUUACUGUGAUCUUUGUAGUUCAUUCCAUUUAUAUAUAUCAUCGUCUUAGUAUGAAGUCAUAACAAUCAGCAUUAUCACACUUCUCAAAAAUUACUCCUUAUCGGUUGGGUCAAAAAGGAAGAUGAAAAUCUCAUAAUUGUUCUUGAUGAAAAUCUCAUAAUUGUUCUUGAUGAGUACGGAGAUAAUUGUUCUUGAAAAUCUCAUAAUUGUUCUCAAAAAUUACUCCUUAUCAGUUAAGCUAAUCCUUCGUUGUUUGCAAUUCUAGCAUUUCACACUAGGGAAUAUCCAGAUUAAUUUGAAUAUAUGUGGAACAUUCAUAGCUGGAAUUCUGAUGCCAUGUUUCUUCUGUUUUUUGUUGAUGUAUUUCUUGAACAUUUUACUGUCUGUUGGCUAUACAUACAUCCCCUCUUGGAAUUUUUCUUGCACCUCCAUGUUGUGUGUUGUAAGAGAUGCGACAAAAGGUUGUCGUUUUUUGAUAGAAUUUCUAUACCGAUGUUAUUACGAGUAAGCAUGUGGUUAACAUCAGUUUCUCAUCAAAGUUAACAUAAAUCCCAAGAUAAAAAAUUCCAAAACCAUGUUUGUUGUCAUUUUUAGUAAGAGCGAAAAUUGUGAAUCUUAAUUUUUUUUGUAGAAAGGUAGUUUUGUCCCUAAGUAGAUAAGUUUAAGUGAUUUAUAUCUAUUACACUUUAACCCUUUUUUUUAACGCUACCACUUUUAAUCAUUCACUGGCUUCUGAGAAAGUUUUUUUAUUUUUUAUUUUUUAAGUUUCUUGCAUUUUGUUUCUAAAUAUGUCGUGUUAAUGGUAAAAAUUAUUGUUCUUCAUAUAUUGAAUCGUUAAUAAUGAAAAAUUAUAUUCUCAUAUUUAUUUUGACCUUAUCUUUUACUAAAUUUAUUGUCGGUUGAAUAAAAUGUUUUGAUUAUGAGAUUAAAACAUUUUGUAGGGGCCUUACAAAGAGUUUUUGAUAAAAGAGCUUCCUUCAAUUCAAAUUGCAACAAGGUAAGUUCGUAAAUCCAAGUACCCCAUCAUCAAGUUGUUUUACAGUGUGUGUUUAUAUUCUCAUAAUCAAGUGAUUUAUUUAGGUUGGUGCUUCAAUGUCUCUAUGUGUUUAUGUAUAUGAGGAUAUAAAUAGCAUUUCAUAGUAAAUGGUGUCAUUUAUUGGAUUUAAUGUAACUACAUAAAUGGAGGAGACUGGAACUUGUAUGUGCAAAAGAGAGUGUACUGCAUGCAUCUUUUAGCCUAGUUAACUGAACAAAUCUAUUAAUUUUAUAAUUGAACUUUUACGUUGCAUUUUUUCUUAUAAGGAUGGUUCGAAGUUUCCCGAAGUUGACACAUUUGAGUUCGCUUAUGCUAGGAAGAACAAGUGUUGGACUUGUAAUGCAGCUAAAACUCAACAUUAUAAAAUUGUUUUCUUUAUCGUGUUUUAUCUACCAUGUUAGACACAAAAUAUAUAUUGCAAAGUUAAAUUAAAAAAGGCUAGAAAAUUACAAUUAGAUUAAGUAGGAUGACAAUUUUUAUAUGUUAUUCGUGGGGCUAUUUCGGAAACGAACACUAUCAUGGUCAAAAUGUUUUUGAGAGAUGAUUAUAUUUCUUAGCUUGUGCUAUGUCUCUUGUGUACAGUUGUGUUAUCUCUUGCAAACUUUGAUUUUAUAGACUGUUUUAUAUAUCUUGUUGGUUAUGUUUGUAGGAUGAAAUAAUUGUCAAAGAGCAUGAAUAUCUUAUAGAGAGGCAAAGGAUCAGCAACUUCCUAAAGAUAUCCUUUUGGAGGAGAUACCGAUAGAUGAUUUUGAUGCCGGAAUUAAUGUCAUGAUGUUCGUUCUAGGUACGAAGCCCAGGCGCCAAAUUCUUGGGUUAGGGGAUGGUCGCCUUCGAGACAUUAGAAUAUCUUCUUCCAAUGUACACAAUUUGGGGAAGGAGUUGGAAGCAGAACGUGCUACUCGAAAGGUAGUCGAUGUGGCUUGAGUAAACAUGGAGCAAAAUAUGCAAAACAAGUUAAAGGUUGUUGAGCAACAAUUCAAUUCUAUAUUACAAUCUUGGAAUCAUUCUAUGCACCAACUAUGUGAUAAAGUUCCUCACUUUAUUGUGCCACCAUUUAUACCAUUGUCAAUAGAGAAAAAUCGUAAUGAGAAAGAUGAUACUAUUGAGGAUGAAGAGAAUAAUUUCGAUGAGAAUCAGUGUAUGUCUAAUUCACGAGACUGAAGAGUCAUGUUUUUUAUUUGCAUAAUAAUAGAUAUAUAGCAUGUUUGCUUUGCUUAUUUUAACUUAAAAUGCAAUCAUACUUGGUGAAACUCAUUUAUUCGUGUUUUGAUGAAAUAUUUUGGAUUCAAUGCUG
RNAcentral lists this long non-coding RNA (9038 nucleotides) under Olea europaea subsp. europaea. The record is from RNAcentral. Lineage: Eukaryota; Viridiplantae; Streptophyta; Magnoliopsida; Lamiales; Oleaceae.